Long non-coding RNA from Talpa occidentalis (Iberian mole), 536 nucleotides. RefSeq lists it as uncharacterized. The record is from RefSeq and is a predicted model, not a curated record. Lineage: Eukaryota; Metazoa; Chordata; Mammalia; Eulipotyphla; Talpidae. The transcript is spliced from 4 exons.
GGAUGACUUGCAGGCUUGGAAAAGACUUGAAAAGCUGGAACCCUUCAGAGUAAUCAAGUCUGGACAAGAUUGCUGACUGGUUAUUUCGUUAAGAGCUGGAAUGGCUAAAGCCCCAGUAUGACUGGCCGCAUUUCCUCAGACUUGCCUGGCCCCUUCUGCCCCUGACCUAUGGGACCCCACCAGAAGGUGCCUUAGACUUGUGGCAAGCUCUUGCGUCUAAGUGGCCCUGCUUUGAGCCAACCUUUUUCUGCUGGCAUUUACCCCCAAGGAAAUUUUAGUGACAUGACAACUGAAUAUCAAAGACCCGAGUUCUCAGAGGCUACUUGGCACUGGUUAUGCAGAGGAACGCAUAAAUCUGAACUUCAGCUAGACAUGAGAAAACAGAGGAGUCACCAAGUUCACUGAGUGGCCAUGACAUGCAACCUUGUUCCCAAGGUCAGUCCAUGGAAAAGAGCCUAUAGAAAGGAAAAGAGAAAAGAAAUGCUCUGCUGUGGACCUCUCUAUUCACUCUGUGCCAGUCAGAGGAGGAAGCAUUG